UACGGGGGGGGCAAGCAUUGUUCGGAAUUACUGGGCGUAAAGGGCUCGUAGGUGGCCAACUAAGUCAGACGUGAAAUCCCUCGGCUUAACCGGGGAACUGCGUCUGAUACUGGAUGGCUAGAGAUUGGGAGAGGGAUGCGGAAUUCCAGGUGUAGCGGUGAAAUGCGUAGAUAUCUGGAGGAACACCAGAGGCGAAGGCGGCCUACUGGGCUGCACCUGACGCUGAGCCGCGAAAGCCAGGGGAGCGAACGGG
Molecule: ribosomal RNA, 253 nt
Filed under: uncultured bacterium
Lineage: Bacteria
Description: partial 16S ribosomal RNA
Rfam family: Bacterial small subunit ribosomal RNA
Source: RNAcentral